Magnolia sinica is the source of this 1043-nucleotide long non-coding RNA. RefSeq lists it as uncharacterized. The record is from RefSeq and is a predicted model, not a curated record. The transcript is spliced from 3 exons. Lineage: Eukaryota; Viridiplantae; Streptophyta; Magnoliopsida; Magnoliales; Magnoliaceae.
UACAGCCCUGUAACGCGCAACUCUUCCCACUAUUACCGUUAUGUAACGGCCUUUAUGACCAUUCCAGUACAGUUUUUGAAUACCUUGAUCCCAAUUGUAUGCAUAUGCUCCAUCAGGUCUCUAUAUGCUAGCAUGUGCAUCUCCAUCUUCUAUUGAAAGGCUUCAACCUGUGCUGGUUGGAAAUAUAGCCAUGAAAUUGUCCCUUGCACAUGAGAAAAAAGUAGGUACUUGAAAGUAACAAUAUUAGCAUCCUUUGAACAUUCUCUUUGAUGAAUACUUCUGGCACCACAUUUUUUGGUGUACCUAGAACAAAUACUUGUCCAGUGCAUAUGAUAUGGCUUGCAAGUUGCAAUGUAAGUGUCCAUAUUAGUAGCCCAACAAGUGCUCCUCACAACUUGAAGCUUAUUCAGUGCCUGGCAUUACUCAUGUGGGUUAGACUUAUGAACUGUUUUUCAUGUCAUGUUUUCUGUGUUUGGUAUAUGUGGACCCAAAAGUGGUUUCUUAAUGCGCCCCUUCAUGGUCACAAUUAAUAUCUUUUCAGUCCAAAGAAGAUGAUGGCCAUGUAAUUGAUGGUAUCUUCUCUUCAACUCCAGAAUGUAAGGCUUGCAAAGGUAGCACUUAGGCCUGGUGCGGCUAACAUGGUGAACGGAAUUCUGUGGAAGCUACUUUUACUAAAGGUUUGUCAUUUUCUGUAACAUUCACUAUACUCAAAUUUAGGGUUCACUAGAAACCAGGUUCAUUUGAAUGCCUUAGCCCUUUCAUAUAUAUUGAUUUAGGGAAAAGACUCACUUCCACUACCCAAACUGGAGGGUGAUGAACGUGCAAAAGCACGCUCUCUGGCAACUAUUUAUUCACAUCCGGUGGUUCCUCAUGAACCAUCCUUGCAUAUGGAUGAUUUUGUCCACAGCAAAAUCGGCAUGCAGACUUUCAUACAAGUGGGGUUAUUGAAAGACGGUCUAUGUUCAGUUCAGGAUGAGAGUGCAGGUCUGUUCUUUUUCCAGACCCUACCCCAGCCAUUUUUCUAAAAUAGGGUUUGAAGGCUA